GAUGAACGCUAGCGGCAGGCUUAAUACAUGCAAGUCGAGGGGCAGCAGCUUUAUAGCAAUAUAGAGGCCGGCGACCGGCAAACGGGUGCGGAACACGUACACAACCUUCCUUUAAGAGGGGGAUAGCCCAUAGAAAUGUGGAUUAAUACCCCGUAACAUAUCGGUGUGGCAUCACAAUGUUAUUAUAGUUUCGACGCUUGAAGAUGGGUGUGCGGCUGAUUAGGUAGUUGGCGGGGUAAAGGCCCACCAAGCCUUCGAUCAGUAGCUGAUGUGAGAGCAUGAUCAGCCACACGGGCACUGAGACACGGGCCCGACUCCUACGGGAGGCAGCAGUAAGGAAUAUUGGUCAACGGACGCAAGUCUGAACCAGCCAUGCCGCGUGAAGGAUGAAGGUCCUCUGGAUUGUAAACUUCUUUUAUAGGGGGCGAAAAAAGGGAAUUCUUUCUCACUUGACAGUACCCUAUGAAUAAGCACCGGCUAACUCCGUGCCAGCAGCCGCGGUAA
Molecule: ribosomal RNA, 504 nt
Filed under: uncultured bacterium
Lineage: Bacteria
Description: partial 16S ribosomal RNA
Rfam family: Bacterial small subunit ribosomal RNA
Source: RNAcentral